GUGGCCGCCUCAGCAGCACAUAUACUAAAGUUGGAAUGAUACAAAGAUUAGCAUGGCCCCUGCGCAAUGAUGACACACAAGUUUGUGAAGCAUUCCGUAAGAGA
Psammomys obesus (fat sand rat) is the source of this 104-nucleotide small nuclear RNA. Lineage: Eukaryota; Metazoa; Chordata; Mammalia; Rodentia; Muridae. The record is from RefSeq and is a predicted model, not a curated record.